Molecule: transfer RNA, 85 nt
Filed under: Actinomycetales bacterium
Lineage: Bacteria; Bacillati; Actinomycetota; Actinomycetes; Actinomycetales
Also listed under: 1 other name
Description: tRNA-Leu
Rfam family: tRNA
About the family: Transfer RNA (tRNA) molecules are approximately 80 nucleotides in length. Their secondary structure includes four short double-helical elements and three loops (D, anti-codon, and T loops). Further hydrogen bonds mediate the characteristic L-shaped molecular structure. tRNAs have two regions of fundamental functional importance: the anti-codon, which is responsible for specific mRNA codon recognition, and the 3' end, to which the tRNAs corresponding amino acid is attached (by aminoacyl-tRNA synthetases). tRNAs cope with the degeneracy of the genetic code in two manners: having more than one tRNA (with a specific anti-codon) for a particular amino acid; and 'wobble' base-pairing, i.e. permitting non-standard base-pairing at the 3rd anti-codon position.
Source: RNAcentral
GCGGGAGUGGCGGAAUUGGCAGACGCACUAGACUUAGGAUCUAGCGCCUUCGGGUGUAGGGGUUCGACUCCCCUCUCCCGCACCA